GUWGGGUGCAAGCGUUAUCYGGAAUUAUYRGGCGUAAAGAGCUCGUAGGCGGUUUGUCGCGUCUGCUGUGAAACCCCGAGGCUCAACCUCGGGCCUGCAGUGGGUACGGGCAGACUAGAGUGCGGUAGGGGAGAUUGGAAUUCYUGGUGUAGCGGUGGAAUGCGCAGAUAUCAGGAGGAACACCGAUGGCGAAGGCAGAUCUCUGGGCCGUAACUGACGCUGAGGAGCGAAAGGGUGGGGAGCAAACAGGCUUAGAUACCCUGGUAGUCCACCCCGUAAACGUUGGGAACUAGUUGUGGGGUCCAUUCCACGGAUUCCGUGACGCAGCUAACGCAUUAAGUUCCCCGCCUGGGGAGUACGGCCGCAAGGSUA
RNAcentral lists this ribosomal RNA (372 nucleotides) under uncultured bacterium. Its description in RNAcentral is "bacterial SSU rRNA". It matches the Rfam family "Bacterial small subunit ribosomal RNA", at positions 527 to 896 of the family's 1533-position model. The record is from RNAcentral.